RNAcentral lists this ribosomal RNA (405 nucleotides) under uncultured bacterium. RNAcentral's name for it is "bacterial SSU rRNA". It matches the Rfam family "Bacterial small subunit ribosomal RNA", at positions 370 to 772 of the family's 1533-position model. The record is from RNAcentral.
AAUGGUGGGAACACUGAACCAGCCAUCCCGCGUGCAGGACGAAGGCCCUCUGGGUUGUAAACUGCUUUUAACAGGGAAGAAACGGGCGGAUUAAUCUGCUCCUGACGGUACCUGUGGAAUAAGCACCGGCUAACUCCGUGCCAGCAGCCGCGGUAAUACGGAGGGUGCAAGCGUUAUCCGGAAUCACUGGGUUUAAAGGGUGCGUAGGCGGCCUGGUAAGUCAGGGGUGAAAGCUUCCCGCUCAACGGGAGAACUGCCCUUGAUACUGCCGGGCUCGAAUUGGGUUGAGGCUGGCGGAAUGUGGCAUGUAGCGGUGAAAUGCUUAGAUAUGCCAUAGAACACCGAUUGCGAAGGCAGCCAGCCAAGCCUUGAUUGACGCUGAGGCACGAAAGCGUGGGGAGCGAA